AGCGCAGGUGGUUGUAUAAGUCUGAAGUAAAAGGCAGUGGCUCAACCAUUGUGUGCUUUGGAAACUGUACAACUUGAGUGCAGAAGGGGAGAGUGGAAUUCCAUGUGUAGCGGUGAAAUGCGUAGAUAUAUGGAGGAACACCGGUGGCGAAAGCGGCUCUCUGGUCUGUAACUGACACUGAGGCUGAAAGCUGGGGGAGCAAACA
Molecule: ribosomal RNA, 205 nt
Filed under: uncultured bacterium
Lineage: Bacteria
Description: partial 16S ribosomal RNA
Rfam family: Bacterial small subunit ribosomal RNA
Source: RNAcentral